RNAcentral lists this non-coding RNA (103 nucleotides) under uncultured Vexilliferidae. The record is from RNAcentral. Lineage: Eukaryota; Discosea; Flabellinia; Dactylopodida; Vexilliferidae.
UAAAAAGAAAGAAAAGAGAGAACACCAGAAACACAAAUUUUUUUCGAAAAAACCGUUUUUUUUCGAUUCCUUUUUUUUUUUUCAAUUUUUCUCUCUUUUAAUU